GACGAACGCUGGCGGCGUGCCUAAUACAUGCAAGUCGAGCGAAGUUUUUCUGGUGCUUGCACUAGAAAAACUUAGCGGCGAACGGGUGAGUAACACGUAAAGAACCUGCCUCAUAGACUGGGACAACUAUUGGAAACGAUAGCUAAUACCGGAUAACAGCAUUAACUGCAUGGUUGAUGUUUAAAAGUUGGUUUUGCUAACACUAUGAGAUGGCUUUGCGGUGCAUUAGCUAGUUGGUGGGGUAAAGGCCUACCAGGGCGACGAUGCAUAGCCGACCUGAGAGGGUGAUCGGCCACACUGGGACUGAGACACGGCCCAGACUCCUACGGGAGGCAGCAGUAGGGAAUCUUCCGCAAUGGGCGAAAGCCUGACGGAGCAACGCCGCGUGAGUGAAGAAGGAUUUCGGUUCGUAAAGCUCUGUUGUUAGGGAAGAAUGAUUGUGUAGUAACUAUACACAGUAGAGACGGUACCUAACCAGAAAGCCACGGCUAACUACGUG
Molecule: ribosomal RNA, 499 nt
Filed under: uncultured bacterium
Lineage: Bacteria
Description: partial 16S ribosomal RNA
Rfam family: Bacterial small subunit ribosomal RNA
Source: RNAcentral